This 253-nucleotide ribosomal RNA is filed under the name uncultured bacterium. Its description in RNAcentral is "partial 16S ribosomal RNA". It matches the Rfam family "Bacterial small subunit ribosomal RNA", at positions 524 to 776 of the family's 1533-position model. The record is from RNAcentral.
UACGUAGGGGGCAAGCGUUGUCCGGAUUUAUUGGGCGUAAAGGGUGCGUAGGCGGCGCGGUAAGUCGGGUGUGAAAUCUCGGGGCUUAACUCCGAAACUGCAUUCGAUACUGCCGUGCUUGAGGACUGGAGAGGAGACUGGAAUUUACGGUGUAGCGGUGAAAUGCGUAGAUAUCGUAAGGAAGACCAGUGGCGAAGGCGGGUCUCUGGACAGUUCCUGACGCUGAGGCACGAAGGUCAGGGGAGCAAACGGG